GACGAACGCUGGCGGCGUGCUUAACACAUGCAAGUCGAACGGAAAGGCCCUGCUUUUGUGGGGUGCUCGAGUGGCGAACGGGUGAGUAACACGUGAGUAACCUGCCCUUGACUUUGGGAUAACUUCAGGAAACUGGGGCUAAUACCGGAUAGGAGCUCCUGCUGCAUGGUGGGGGUUGGAAAGUUUCGGCGGUUGGGGAUGGACUCGCGGCUUAUCAGCUUGUUGGUGGGGUAGUGGCUUACCAAGGCUUUGACGGGUAGCCGGCCUGAGAGGGUGACCGGCCACAUUGGGACUGAGAUACGGCCGAGAGUCCUACGGGAGGCAGCAGUGGGGAAUAUUGCACAAUGGGCGGAAGCCUGAUGCAGCAACGCCGCGUGCGGGAUGACGGCCUUCGGGUUGUAAACCGCUUUCGCCUGUGACGAAGCGUGAGUGACGGUAAUGGGUAAAGAAGCACCGGCUAACUACGUG
This 468-nucleotide ribosomal RNA is filed under the name uncultured bacterium. RNAcentral's name for it is "partial 16S ribosomal RNA". It matches the Rfam family "Bacterial small subunit ribosomal RNA", at positions 28 to 507 of the family's 1533-position model. The record is from RNAcentral.